AUACGGAGGGUGCAAGCGUUAUUCGGAAUCACUUGGCGUAAAGGACGCGUAGGCGGGUUGGCAAGUCAGAUGCGAAAUCCUACAGCUUAACUGUAGAACUGCAUUUGAAACUGCUAACCUAGAGUAUGUGAGGGGGAGAUGGAAUUAGUGGUGUAGGGGUAAAAUCCGUAGAUAUCACUAGGAAUACCGAAAGCGAAGGCGAUCUCCUGGAACAUAACUGACGCUAAGGCGUGAAAGCGUGGGGAGCAAACAGAAUUAGAUACCCUAGUAGUCC
Molecule: ribosomal RNA, 274 nt
Filed under: uncultured bacterium
Lineage: Bacteria
Description: partial 16S ribosomal RNA
Rfam family: Bacterial small subunit ribosomal RNA
Source: RNAcentral